UACGAAGGGGGCUAGCGUUGUUCGGAAUUACUGGGCGUAAAGCGCGCGCAGGCGGUUUUUCAAGUCAGUGGUGAAAGCCCGGAGCUCAACUCCGGAACUGCCAUUGAAACUGUGAAACUCGAGGAUAGAGGAGGUGAGUGGAAUUCCCAGUGUAGAGGUGAAAUUCGUAGAUAUUGGGAAGAACACCGGUGGCGAAGGCGGCUCACUGGCUCAUUUCUGACGCUCAGGCGCGACAGCGUGGGGAUCAAACAGG
RNAcentral lists this ribosomal RNA (253 nucleotides) under uncultured bacterium. RNAcentral describes it as "partial 16S ribosomal RNA". It matches the Rfam family "Bacterial small subunit ribosomal RNA", at positions 524 to 776 of the family's 1533-position model. The record is from RNAcentral.